CAGUCGCCACGGUAAUACAGAGGGUGCAAGCGUUAAUCGGAAUUACUGGGCGUAAAGCGUGCGCAGGCGGUUAUAUAAGACAGAUGUGAAAUCCCCGGGCUCAACCUGGGAACUGCAUUUGUGACUGUAUAGCUAGAGUACGGCAGAGGGGGAUGGAAUUCCGCGUGUAGCAGUGAAAUGCGUAGAUAUGCGGAGGAACACCGAUGGCGAAGGCAAUCCCCUGGGCCUGUACUGACGCUCAUGCACGAAAGCGUGGGGAGCAAACAGGAUUAGAUACCCCCGUAGUCCCUGUCUCUUAUAC
Molecule: ribosomal RNA, 301 nt
Filed under: uncultured bacterium
Lineage: Bacteria
Description: partial 16S ribosomal RNA
Rfam family: Bacterial small subunit ribosomal RNA
Source: RNAcentral